This 478-nucleotide ribosomal RNA is filed under the name uncultured bacterium. RNAcentral describes it as "partial 16S ribosomal RNA". It matches the Rfam family "Bacterial small subunit ribosomal RNA", at positions 28 to 507 of the family's 1533-position model. The record is from RNAcentral.
GAUGAACGCUAGCGGCAGGCCUAACACAUGCAAGUCGAGGGAGAAGCCCUUUCGGGGGCCGAAACCGGCGCACGGGUGCGUAACGCGUAUGCAACCUACCUUUCACAGGGGGAUAGCCCGAAGAAAUUUGGAUUAAUACCCCAUAAUAUUAUUGGAUGGCAUCAUUUGAUAAUUAAAACUGCGGUGGUGAAAGAUGGGCAUGCGUCCUAUUAGCUAGUUGGAGUGGUAACGGCACCCCAAGGCUACGAUAGGUAGGGGUCCUGAGAGGGAGAUCCCCCACACUGGUACUGAGACAGGGACCAGACUCCUACGGGAGGCAGCAGUGAGGAAUAUUGGUCAAUGGUCGGAAGACUGAACCAGCCAUGCCGCGUGCAGGAAGAAUGCCUUAUGGGCUGUAAACUGCUUUUAUAUGGGAAGAAUAAGGCGUACGUGUACGUUGAUGACGGUACCAUAUGAAUAAGCAUCGGCUAACUCCGUG